GACGAACGCUGGCGGCGUGCUUAACACAUGCAAGUCGAACGGAAAGGCCCUGCUUGCAGGGUACUCGAGUGGCGAACGGGUGAGUAACACGUGGGUGAUCUGCCCUGCACUUCGGGAUAAGCCUGGGAAACUGGGUCUAAUACCGGAUAUGACCUUCCAUGUAGUGUGGGGGGUGGAAAGAUUUAUCGGUGUGGGAUGAGCCCGCGGCCUAUCAGCUUGUUGGUGGGGUAAUGGCCUACCAAGGCGUCGACGGGUGGCCGGCCUGAGAGGGUGGACGGCCACAUUGGGACUGAGAUACGGCCCAGACUCCUACGGGAGGCAGCAGUGGGGAAUAUUGCACAAUGGGCGGAAGCCUGAUGCAGCGACGCCGCGUGGGGGAUGACGGCCUUCGGGUUGUAAACCUCUUUCGACAGGGACGAAGCUUCGGUGACGGUACCUGGAGAAGAAGCACCGGCUAACUACGUG
This 465-nucleotide ribosomal RNA is filed under the name uncultured bacterium. RNAcentral describes it as "partial 16S ribosomal RNA". It matches the Rfam family "Bacterial small subunit ribosomal RNA", at positions 28 to 507 of the family's 1533-position model. The record is from RNAcentral.